Molecule: ribosomal RNA, 441 nt
Filed under: uncultured bacterium
Lineage: Bacteria
Description: partial 16S ribosomal RNA
Rfam family: Bacterial small subunit ribosomal RNA
Source: RNAcentral
CUACGGGUUGCUGCAGUGGGGAAUAUUGGGCAAUGGGCGCAAGCCUGACCCAGCAACGCCGCGUGAGGGAAGAAGGUUUUCGGAUUGUAAACCUCUGUCCUUGGGGACGAAGAAGUGACGGUACCCAAGGAGGAAGCUCCGGCUAACUACGUGCCAGCAGCCGCGGUAAUACGUAGGGAGCAAGCGUUGUCCGGAAUUACUGGGCGUAAGGGGUGCGUAGGCGGCAUAUUAAGUCAGGUGUGAAAUACUCGGGCUCAACCCGGGGGCUGCAUUUGAAACUGAUAUGCUUGAGUGUGAGAGAGGAAAGUGGAAUUCCUAGGGUAGCGGUGGAAUGCGUAGAUAUUAGGAGGAACACCAGUGGCGAAGGCGACUUUCUGGCUCAUAACUGACGCUGAGGCACGAAAGCGUGGGGAGCAAACAGGAUUAGAUACCCCGGUAGUC